CCUACGGGUGGCAGCAGUGGGGGAUAUUGCACAAUGGGGGAAACCCUGAUGCAGCGACGCCGCGUGAGUGAAGAAGUAUUUCGGUAUGUAAAGCUCUAUCAGCAGGGAAGAAAAUGACAGUACCUGACUAAGAAGCCCCGGCUAACUACGUGCCAGCAGCCGCGGUAAUACGUAGGGGGCAAGCGUUAUCCGGAUUUACUGGGUGUAAAGGGAGCGUAGACGGUUAUGUAAGUCUGGAGUGAAAGCCCGGGGCUCAACCCCGGGACUGCUUUGGAAACUGUGUAACUGGAGUUCAGGAGGGGCAAGCGGAAUUCCUAGUGUAGCGGUGAAAUGCGUAGAUAUCAGGAGGAACACCGGCGGCGAAGGCGGCCUGCUGGACUGUAACUGACGUUGAGGCUCGAAAGCGUGGGGAGCAAACAGGAUUAGAUACCCUGGUAGUC
This 440-nucleotide ribosomal RNA is filed under the name uncultured bacterium. RNAcentral's name for it is "partial 16S ribosomal RNA". It matches the Rfam family "Bacterial small subunit ribosomal RNA", at positions 338 to 795 of the family's 1533-position model. The record is from RNAcentral.